AUGAGUCCUUAUGAUUUAUUUGCUUCUACCUUGCAUUACAUGAUGCCAUCACUUAAGAUUGAUUUGAAAAAACAUUUACUUGGAUAUGAUGAUACAUACACUGUUGGUGGCAUUGCUCUCAUUUGUGAUGAUCACAAUUACUUUCCUCAUGCUAGUCUUGAGAUUAAUGAUAAAUGUCAUCCUCGUGUGAGUAUUGACCACGCUGAUUUCUGCCAUCCUAAACAUGUGCUUUAUAGUUAUGCUUAUAUAAUUGGAUAUUCCAUUGAUGACUUGGAGGACAUCGACCGCAUCACUUGUAGUUGUUUGUGUGAGUCCUAUUUCAGGCUUUUGCUACUGCACUGUUAA
RNAcentral lists this ribosomal RNA (345 nucleotides) under Triticum aestivum (bread wheat). Its description in RNAcentral is "partial small subunit ribosomal RNA". The record is from RNAcentral. Lineage: Eukaryota; Viridiplantae; Streptophyta; Magnoliopsida; Poales; Poaceae.